This 370-nucleotide ribosomal RNA is filed under the name uncultured bacterium. RNAcentral's name for it is "bacterial SSU rRNA". It matches the Rfam family "Bacterial small subunit ribosomal RNA", at positions 527 to 896 of the family's 1533-position model. The record is from RNAcentral.
GAAGGGGGCUAGCGUUGUUCGGAAUUACUGGGCGUAAAGCGCGCGUAGGCGGUUUUGCAAGCCAGAGGUGAAAUGCCUGAGCUCAACUCAGGAAUGGCCUUUGGGACUGCGAGGCUUUGAGGACUGGAGAGGUGAGUGGAAUUCCCAGUGUAGAGGUGAAAUUCGUAGAUAUUGGGAAGAACACCGGUGGCGAAGGCGGUUCACUGGCCAGUUUCUGACGCUGUAGCGCGAAAGCGUGGGGAUCAAACAGGAUUAGAUACCCUGGUAGUCCACGCCGUAAACGAUGAGUGCUAGGCGUCGGCAUGCAUGCAUGUCGGUGCCGCAGCUAACGCGUGAAGCACUCCGCCUGGGGAGUACGGUCGCAAGAUUA